RNAcentral lists this long non-coding RNA (227 nucleotides) under Solanum tuberosum (potato). Its description in RNAcentral is "long non-coding RNA (STUB_LNC000759)". Lineage: Eukaryota; Viridiplantae; Streptophyta; Magnoliopsida; Solanales; Solanaceae. The record is from RNAcentral.
UAACUUAUUUCACUUGCAUCUGAUUCUACUAUAUAUGUAAAUAUUUUAUUUUCAUCUGGAAAAUAUAAUUUGGGUAAAUUCUUACAUAAUAGUUUUAUUUUUUGAAUCUGUUCUUGAUCUUUUUUGUCAAAAUAAUAUUCUACAUCUUUCUUUAGUUUUUUAUGCAAAAGGUUUUAGAUUUUCUGCCAAAUUGGGUAUAUAUUCUCUUACCUGGUUUACUAAUCCUA